Molecule: RNase P RNA, 294 nt
Filed under: Vibrio parahaemolyticus
Lineage: Bacteria; Pseudomonadati; Pseudomonadota; Gammaproteobacteria; Vibrionales; Vibrionaceae
Description: partial RNase P RNA component class B
Rfam family: Bacterial RNase P class B
About the family: Ribonuclease P (RNase P) is a ubiquitous endoribonuclease, found in archaea, bacteria and eukarya as well as chloroplasts and mitochondria.
Source: RNAcentral
GGUCCUGAGUGAUCGCGGUCUGCUUUUGCAGGCUGAGGAAAGUCCAUGCCCGCACAAGCUGAGAUGCUUGUAGUGUUCGUGCUAAGCCCAAUAAGCUUAGGGGCCGUGUAAACGGCUACGGCGGCCAAACGCGCUAAGGCGUCAGCUAUGCGCUAGUAGGUCUGAAAAGUGCCACAGUGACGAAACGAUCAGGGAAACCUGAGCGGUGGAACGGGUAAACCCCGCGAGCGAGUAACCCAAACUUUUGGUAGGGGCGUUUUGCCAAGCAAAUUGAAGCGACGGCAAUACAGCGGU